Molecule: ribosomal RNA, 492 nt
Filed under: uncultured bacterium
Lineage: Bacteria
Description: partial 16S ribosomal RNA
Rfam family: Bacterial small subunit ribosomal RNA
Source: RNAcentral
AGUGAACGCUGGCGGUAGGCCUAACACAUGCAAGUCGAACGGCAGCACAGUAAGAGCCUGCUCUUACGGGUGGCGAGUGGCGGACGGGUGAGGAAUACAUCGGAAUCUACUUUUUCGUGGGGGAUAACGUAGGGAAACUUACGCUAAUACCGCAUACGACCUACGGGUGAAAGCAGGGGAUCUUCGGACCUUGCGCGAUUGAAUGAGCCGAUGUCGGAUUAGCUAGUUGGCGGGGUAAAGGCCCACCAAGGCGACGAUCCGUAGCUGGUCUGAGAGGAUGAUCAGCCACACUGGAACUGAGACACGGUCCAGAUUCCUACGGGAGGCAGCAGUGGGGAAUAUUGGACAAAGGGCGCAAGCCUGAUCCAGCCAUACCGCGUGGGUGAAGAAGGCCUUCGGGUUGUAAAGCCCUUUUGUUGGGAAAGAAAAGCAGCAGGUUAAUACCCCGCUGUUCUGACGGUACCCAAAGAAUAAGCACCGGCUAACUUCGUG